This is a long non-coding RNA of Halichondria panicea, 558 nucleotides long. RefSeq lists it as uncharacterized. The transcript has 4 exons. The record is from RefSeq and is a predicted model, not a curated record. Lineage: Eukaryota; Metazoa; Porifera; Demospongiae; Suberitida; Halichondriidae.
UCUAUCGGUUGCUUUGCACACAUCGAUCUUUACCCACUUGUACACUUUUGACAUCUAUUGACUACUUGACAUUUAUCGACUACCUGACAUUUAUCGACUAAUUGACAUCUAUCGACUACUUGACAUCUACUGCUACGUAUACUUACAUCUAUCAGCUAGUUGACAUCCAUCAACUACUUGACAUCUAUCAGCUACUUGACAUCUAUCGACUACUUGAGGAGAUCGAGGAUGCCUUACUUAAACAGGCUUUGACAGAGAGCAAGCAACCUGAUACUCAACAUAAAUCUGUGAUGGUCAGCUCUCUUUCUUGCUUGCUGAAGCUUCUGUCUGAGUAUCGGUUCAAGGAAUAUCAUCAGAUCCCAAUACGACGCACUCAUGUGUUAGUAGAUGCACUCAGAGCUGCAAGGCGGCCUGCAUUUACAAGCAUCAAGACAUUGACGGUUCACUUUGUAAGUGAGGAAGCAGAAGAUGGUGGAGGCCCAUCCAGGGAGUUUUGGUGCCUGUUGGGGAAAGAGAUAGCUCAGUCCAUGUUUGAGGGCCAUGAGCAGGGGCGUAGCU